RNAcentral lists this ribosomal RNA (497 nucleotides) under uncultured bacterium. Its description in RNAcentral is "partial 16S ribosomal RNA". It matches the Rfam family "Bacterial small subunit ribosomal RNA", at positions 28 to 507 of the family's 1533-position model. The record is from RNAcentral.
GAUGAACGCUGGCGGCGUGCCUAAUACAUGCAAGUCGAGCGAACGGACGAGAAGCUUGCUUCUCUGAUGUUAGCGGCGGACGGGUGAGUAACACGUGGAUAACCUACCUAUAAGACCGGGAUAACUUCGGGAAACCGGAGCUAAUACCGGAUAAUAUUUUGAACCGCAUGGUUCAAAAGUGAAAGACGGUCUUGCUGUCACUUAUAGAUGGAUCCGCGCUGCAUUAGCUAGUUGGUAAGGUAACGGCUUACCAAGGCAACGAUGCAUAGCCGACCUGAGAGGGUGAUCGGCCACACUGGAACUGAGACACGGUCCAGACUCCUACGGGAGGCAGCAGUAGGGAACCUUCCGCAAUGGGCGAAAGCCUGACGGAGCAACGCCGCGUGAGUGAUGAAGGUCUUCGGAUCGUAAAACUCUGUUAUUAGGGAAGAACAUAUGUGUAAGUAACUGUGCACAUCUUGACGGUACCUAAUCAGAAAGCCACGGCUAACUACGUG